This is a long non-coding RNA of Octopus bimaculoides (California two-spot octopus), 621 nucleotides long. The record is from RefSeq and is a predicted model, not a curated record. NCBI's taxonomy places the organism in Eukaryota, Metazoa, Mollusca, Cephalopoda, Octopoda, Octopodidae.
GCUGUACAGAAAAUGAGUCGACCAGUUUGAGGCAUAUGGAUCUAACUGAGGCAUAUGGAUCUAACCACAUUUAUUCGAGAAAACACACUGAACACACUGCGUAUCUCUUCGUUUUCAAGACGUUCAGAACCACGUUGUUGGUCGAAGAUGAUAAGUGUAGCAGGAAUAUUUAGCAAAUUACCCAUUAUCACGACGAUUCGCUAGAAUAUUGUCCACGUGAUCAACAAAAUCAGACAAAUCACGAUUUCUCGACGAAUAGGCUCCAGUAAUGAUAUUUUCUUUCGACGCGCUUCAUUUUGAGCCUAUCGACCAGUAUAAAUUCAGUAUGUCGUGAACACUACGAGACAGAGAGCUUUGGGAUACAGCAGACAGAGCAUUGACAAACAUUGUAGAGUUGGCAAACAGAGAUGGAGGACAGCAGCUGACAAUACAAAGGCAAUGAACAGCCAGCAGGCGAACGACAUAAGAAAUCAGCCGGCAAGCAACUAACCAUACUUUAUUUGCUGCUACAACUACACCAAGAACAAAAAUAACCCUGGACAUUUUGUCGUUUGUAGUAAUGACAGCUAUCAUUCCUUGCGUUGUUUAUCAAGAAUAAAUUGUUCUUUAUCAAAAUUUCAA